UGCCCUUAUGAUAAUUUAGGUUAAGUAGUGUGUAAGCUUAGGGACUGAUGAUCUUAGCAGUUAAGUCCCAUAAGAUUUCACACACAUUUGAACAUUUUUUUGUUGGUACAGGGCAUAAGAGAAGCCACUUGAUGGCUCAAAAGUAACAGUGUGGUGUGGUGUCUCCAAGACAGGGAUUGUUGCUUCGUACUUUUUUGAAGAGGGAGAAACUGUAGUUACUGUGUCCUCAGUGCACUACAUCAUGAUGUUAAACAACUUUCUGCAUCCAGAACUGGAAAGGCAUUGGGUGAACAUGAGAGAAAUGGGGUUCCAACAGCAUGGUGCCGUAGCUCACAUAGCAAGAGAAUCUGUGGAAGUGAUUUUACGUGAACAAGCCUUGAACAAUUGAUGACCUGAAAAUUUCCAUUCAUCGAGAAACUAAAGCUGUAUUGAAUGAAAUAUUGGAAGAAGCUGUGCAGAACUUUGAGGAGAGGCUCUGAAUCUGCAUCCAACAGGAAGGAUAUCAUCUUAAUCAUGUUAUUUUCUGAUUCUGAUUAAUGUAUGUAGAUUUAAAAACUGCAAUAAAAGUGUUAUUAUUUAAUGUAAUUUUUUUCUAUAAAUAAAACACUAGAAGUCAUUCGCUAGUGAAAAA
Long non-coding RNA from Schistocerca americana (American grasshopper), 631 nucleotides. RefSeq lists it as uncharacterized. The record is from RefSeq and is a predicted model, not a curated record. NCBI's taxonomy places the organism in Eukaryota, Metazoa, Arthropoda, Insecta, Orthoptera, Acrididae. The transcript has 2 exons.